This 376-nucleotide long non-coding RNA is filed under the name Elaeis guineensis (African oil palm). RNAcentral's name for it is "long non-coding RNA (EGUI_LNC042513)". The record is from RNAcentral. Lineage: Eukaryota; Viridiplantae; Streptophyta; Magnoliopsida; Arecales; Arecaceae.
AGUGCAAGUUGAUCUGAUUUGAUUAGAAUCUAAUCUAACCGAUUUAGGUUUAAUCGAGCUAACUCAAUUUCAGCAAUUUAGAAUCCUUUCUAACUGAUGAUCGAAUUAACUCUUUAAUUUAAUCAAACCCACAAGACAAGAUUGACAUCUAGCAAUAUAUCAUAUCUACCUAAAAGACAUAAAAUUCUGAUAGAAAUAUCAAAAAUAUCCUUCAGUAGUAAGUUACCGUAUAAUUUGAUCCUGUGAUCAACCUGCAUCCCGAAUAUGACUUUGGAUAUGAAAUCAUGUCAAACACAAUAUUAUAUUCAUAUAUCUCUUAAUCUUAUAAUGAUGAUUCAAUUUAUGAAAUAUUAUUUUUUUUAAUAUUUAUUCUACU